UGGCGAAACGCGGGUUCGAACCAGGACUUUUAGAUCCUCGGUUUAAAGCUUUCGUAGCUGAGCUAUUCCGCC
This is a non-coding RNA of Cordylochernes scorpioides, 72 nucleotides long. The record is from the annotation of a GenBank genome assembly. NCBI's taxonomy places the organism in Eukaryota, Metazoa, Arthropoda, Arachnida, Pseudoscorpiones, Chernetidae.